AGUGAACGCUGGCGGUAGGCCUAACACAUGCAAGUCGAACGGCAGCACAGUAAGAGCUUGCUCUUACGGGUGGCGAGUGGCGGACGGGUGAGGAAUACAUCGGAAUCUACUUUUUCGUGGGGGAUAACGUAGGGAAACUUACGAUAAUACCGCAUACGACCUACGGGUGAAAGCAGGGCAUCUUCGGACCUUGCGCGAUUAAAUGAGCCGAUGUCGGAUUAGCUAGUUGGCGGGGUAAAGGCCCACCAAGGCGACGAUCCGUAGCUGGUCUGAGAGGAUGAUCAGCCACACUGGAACUGAGACACGGUCCAGACUCCUACGGGAGGCAGCAGUGGGGAAUAUUGGACAAUGGGCGCAAGCCUGAUCCAGCCAUACCGCGUGGGUGAAGAAGGCCUUCGGGUUGUAAAGCCCUUUUGUUGGGAAAGAAAAGCAGCAGGUUAAUACCCCGCUGUUCUGACGGUACCCAAAGAAUAAGCACCGGCUAACUUCGUG
Molecule: ribosomal RNA, 492 nt
Filed under: uncultured bacterium
Lineage: Bacteria
Description: partial 16S ribosomal RNA
Rfam family: Bacterial small subunit ribosomal RNA
Source: RNAcentral